This 117-nucleotide ribosomal RNA is filed under the name Diaphorina citri (Asian citrus psyllid). Lineage: Eukaryota; Metazoa; Arthropoda; Insecta; Hemiptera; Psyllidae. The record is from RNAcentral.
GCCAGCGGAUGAGAUAGCACGUUCAAUGCACCAGUUUCCAAUAGAUCACCGAAGUUAAGUAACGUUUCGCGUGGUACCUGGAUGGGUGACCAUCCGGGCAAUCGCGUGAUGCUGGCU